UAAGAUCUAGAGUGCAAGUCUAUUCUCCUUCCCAGAACUACUGAGAAAAGUGAUUCUACAACACCCUUAGUGUGCUUGACUCAAUAAUGGAAAUGACAUGAUUCCCCAGUAUGUAUGAGAGAGUUGGACAGCAGCCUAGGUUAUAAAAAUGCAAAUUAAGAUUAUGUGAUUGGAGAGUUAAUUGGUUUCCUAGUGACUCUGAAGAAUACAGAGUGUCCUUGAGUGUUUCAGUUGGAAGGGUCCUACCCACAAAAGGGAAAUGACUUCCACUGAAGAUCACACAGCAAACUAGAGGAGGGCUGGAACCCUGCCUCCAGAUUCCCCUGAAUCUUUCAUCUGUCCUGAAGAGAACACAGCAUCCAAGUUGCCAUCUUGGAAGCAGAGUCCGGUUCUCACCAGACACAGAGACUGUUGGCACCUUGAUCUUGGACUUCCCAGCCUCCAGAACUGAGAGAAGAAGCCAGUGCGAGGCUGAGAGGCCACCUGGAGAACCAAGCUGCUCCAGCGGACACACAGCACCAACUGCCAGCCAUGAGUGAGACCAUUUUAGAUCUUCCAGCUCAGUUAAGCUCCAGCUGAAAGCAACCCGCACACAUGAGCCCUGUAUCAGAUUUUUGAGGUUUAUCCAUGUUGGUGCAGGAGGAAAAACACUGGAAUCUGCUCUUGGAAAAGUGAAAUGCUCACCCUCUUGGAGUCAAUCACAGGAAUCAGGAUCAUCCAAGGGAACAAUGGAAUCAUUAUGACCUAUUUCACACUCACUCCAGAGCAGACACAAAGUCAGCUUCCCCUUAUCUCUCUCUCCCCUCCCCUUCUCUCCCUUCCUUAAAUGUGUGCACAUGAGCUCAUUAUACUGUAAUGCUGUCUUACAUUACAAAGCAGAAGUCAGAGUCUAUAUUGUAUAGCUCAGUAUUGUCCAACUGAAAUGUAAUGUGAGUCAUAUGUAUAAUUUUAAAUGUCCUAUUCUAAAAAGUUUAGUCAUGUUCUAAAAAGUGAAAAGAAAUAGAUAAAUGAACUUUUAUAUUUUUCAUUUGACCCAAUAUGUCUAAAAUAUUAUCCAAAUGUAUUACACAUUCAACAUGUAAUCAGUAUAAAAUUAUUAAUGAGAUUGAUUAUUUUUUUCAUUUGAAGUAUUCAAAAUCUGAUAUGUAUCUUACUGUUAUUAUCCUCAAGUUAAUUUGGAUUAAUCGCAUGUCAAGAGCUCAGUAGUCACAGGUGACUGAUAGCUACAAUUUUCGCACAGAAGGCCUUAAAAAUCUAACCUGAAAACACACACUGAGCAGAUCUUGGCAUCCAGUCUUCACAUUGGUAAUUGAACAUUGUGAGGAGUUUGACUCUUCUAUGAGACUAGAAGGGUCUGUGCAGAGGUGUGUCCAGGGCUAUUGGGAUGGUUUAAUUGAAGCAGCACCUGCUGGGUUGGCCAGUCUGGCAGGAGGCUCCAGCACCAUCAGCCUUUACAUAAUCUAGGGAAGGUCACUUAACCUUCUAAACUCUUAGUUUUUCUCUAUAUGAGGGUGAGCCCCUGUGGCGCUGACAAUAUUGCUGGUUCCAUCUUCCACUGCCAAUCUGACUUGGGGUUAAGGAUAGUGGCUGGUGUUCCACCGAGGGAUGAGCUGCUAUUUGUCUUCCUAACAUAGAGAACCAGAGAGCUUUUCAUUAGAAACAGACUCCUACAUAGUCCUAGGGAGCCUGAGUGUAAACCUUUGUUCUUUGAGGAGGACCUUGACUCUGCCCAAGGCCAGACUGGCACCAUAGAAGUCCACAGUCAGAAAGAACCACAAACCAACUCCCCUGGGUGGCAUGGUCUAGGCAGCGCUUUAUUUAGAUAAUCCACAUAGAGAUGCCACAGUUUGGUCUGGGCAUAUGAUUAUAUGGUUUUCAUGCCAUGUAGCCUUACAGGAAAUCAAGAGUGCUGACAAAACCCGGGUUUACACCAAAUUCACUGUGCUCUGACUCAGUUUCCCUUUUUAUCAACAAGGUAGUAUAAUUAGUACUUAUGAUGUAGGCAUAAUGAUUCUAUCCUGGUUCCCAAGUCCUUUCUUAAAGAAACACAAAACUCUAAGGAAAGCUUUCUUCCUAACACAACAGUCAGGAGGGGCCACUUGUCAGGGCAUUCAGGUCCUAGGAUCCUGGCAAAUUGUCAUUGGAAAUAAACCUGAAAUAACAUGGUCCUAUAUCUUCUUGUAUUAUCUUUUUAAAUAGACACAGCACCACCUAAUGACCUCCUUUCCUGAUGGGCAUGGUGGUAUGCAUCUGCAGUCCCAGCAAAUCCAAGGCUGAGGCAGGAGGAUCACUUGAGCCCAGGAAUGUGGGGCCAGCCUGGGGAACACAGCAAGACCCUGUCUCUUAAAACAAACAAACACAAUACAAAAGUUAGUUUCUUUCUGAGAGCUCUGGAAUAUUUUUGGUUUCACUCUUCAGUGUCGUGAGAUUUAUUUUCAGGUAUUACUUUUAAUUUCAAAAGCGAUUUAUAACUCGAUUUAAUUUUAAAAGUUUCAUACACACACGCGCAUGUGCGUGCGCACACACACACACACACACACACACACCUAGAACAAAUUCAUAUACUACAAAAGGGUAUUUAAUAAAAAGUAAAUGUCUACCUCAUUUUAGCCAAAUACCAACACGUUCCCAGUUUGCUGAGUAUCAUUUUAGAGCUAUUCUAUGCAUAAAACAUGUAUUUUCAGACUUUUUUUUAAAAAAGAUGUGCUGUUUAAUUUUAAAGCUACUUUAACUCAAGACAAGGUAAAAAGGUAGGGAACUGUGGAUUAAAAAAGAAAAGGGCCUGGGGUAUAAUUGUUUUAAAUGAUGUGUUGAUGUGUUGAGUUUAAAAAUAUUUUGAUGCGUUCCAAUGCAUGGAAAACAAGAUGCUGUGAAUCAUUGUCUUGAAUAAACUGUCC
Non-coding RNA from Ictidomys tridecemlineatus (thirteen-lined ground squirrel), 2897 nucleotides. Lineage: Eukaryota; Metazoa; Chordata; Mammalia; Rodentia; Sciuridae. The record is from RefSeq and is a predicted model, not a curated record.